RNAcentral lists this ribosomal RNA (465 nucleotides) under uncultured Klebsiella sp. RNAcentral's name for it is "bacterial SSU rRNA". It matches the Rfam family "Bacterial small subunit ribosomal RNA", at positions 338 to 795 of the family's 1533-position model. Lineage: Bacteria; Pseudomonadati; Pseudomonadota; Gammaproteobacteria; Enterobacterales; Enterobacteriaceae. The record is from RNAcentral.
CCUACGGGAGGCUGCAGUGGGGAAUAUUGCACAAUGGGCGCAAGCCUGAUGCAGCCAUGCCGCGUGUGUGAAGAAGGCCUUCGGGUUGUAAAGCACUUUCAGCGGGGAGGAAGGCGGUGAGGUUAAUAACCUCAUCGAUUGACGUUACCCGCAGAAGAAGCCCCGGCUAACUCCGUGCCAGCAGCCGCGGUAAUACGGAGGGUGCAAGCGUUAAUCGGAAUUACUGGGCGUAAAGCGCACGCAGGCGGUCUGUCAAGUCGGAUGUGAAAUCCCCGGGCUCAACCUGGGAACUGCAUUCGAAACUGGCAGGCUAGAGUCUUGUAGAGGGGGGUAGAAUUCCAGGUGUAGCGGUGAAAUGCGUAGAGAUCUGGAGGAAUACCGGUGGCGAAGGCGGCCCCCUGGACAAAGACUGACGCUCAGGUGCGAAAGCGUGGGGAGCAAACAGGAUUAGAUACCCCUGUAGUC